GAUUAGUCUCGUUGGUGACCAGCGGAGGGAUCAUUACAGAGUUUUCUAAACUCCCAACCCUAUGUGAACUUACCUUUGUUGCUUCGGCGGCGGAGGCUACCCUAUGGGGGAUACCACCCAGUGGUUACCCUGUAGUCCCGGGUGCUGAUUCGUUCCCAACGUUUCUCGUAAACGGUCAGUUACUUGGUGGCCCUCCCCGCCGGCGGCCAACUAAACUCUGUUUUUAUGGCAUUCUGAAUUAUAAACUUAAUAAGUUAAAACUUUCAACAACGGAUCUCUUGGUUCUGGCAUCGAUGAAGAACGCAGCGAAAUGCGAUAAGUAAUGUGAAUUGCAGAAUUCAGUGAAUCAUCGAAUCUUUGAACGCACAUUGCGCCCAUUAGCAUUCUAGUGGGCAUGCCUGUUCGAGCGUCAUUUCACCACUUAAGCCCUGUUCUUAACCGGUUGGGGGCCUACGGCACUGCCCGUAGCCCCCUAAAGUGAUUGGCGGAGUUGGUUCUCACUCUAGGCGUAGUAAAUCUAUCUCGCCUCUGUAGUGGUGCCGGCCCCUGCCGUAAAACCCCCUAUAUCAAAGGUUGACCUCGGAUCAGGUAGGAAUACCCGCUGAACUUAAGCAUAUCAAAAAA
This 624-nucleotide ribosomal RNA is filed under the name Muscodor sp. GSM5_5_7. RNAcentral's name for it is "eukaryotic LSU rRNA". The stretch from base 259 to 412 matches the Rfam family "5.8S ribosomal RNA". The record is from RNAcentral. Lineage: Eukaryota; Fungi; Ascomycota; Sordariomycetes; Xylariales.